Rosa chinensis is the source of this 1529-nucleotide long non-coding RNA. RefSeq lists it as uncharacterized. NCBI's taxonomy places the organism in Eukaryota, Viridiplantae, Streptophyta, Magnoliopsida, Rosales, Rosaceae. The record is from RefSeq and is a predicted model, not a curated record. The transcript has 4 exons.
ACCAAUAGGAUACCAACACGAAGGAAGAAUCAUAAAAUCACUGUUUCUGAAUUCGUCGGGGUUUGAUCGGACUAGGAGUUUAUGACAUCGUGGUGGCGACGGAGUAGGAGGCUUGGUUAAGGUUUGAGUUUUCGGGAGCUAUCUGCUCGAAAUCGGUGACAAUGGCGCCGAGGCUCGGCUCCGGCGACGCAUCCGGCUUCAAGUUCCUUAUCUUUCUGGUCAUGAUUUACGACCUCAUCGCCGUGCUUGUCCACUUGUUCCCUAUUCUCGCCGUGAGAUUCACGCUUUGGUUUUCAGAUUGACGCAUGAUAGAUUUCUGAUUCAUGCUUUUCAAAAUUCGGUAAACUUUUUCGCGAUUAUAAGUAGUGGUGAGAGAAAUGAACGGCGGUGGAGAGUGGCUCGCGGCUUCGGCGACGUCUGGAGACUGGAUGUUUUCUCAAGUUUCUGGAGAACAGACCGCCGGCGAGGAAGUUCAGGAAGAACAAUUGAUCGUCAUAAACUUAUGAUUAUAGCUAUGGAUGUUGCAUUUGGGAUGGAGUAUCUGCAAGGAAAAAAUAUAGUACAUCUUGAUAUGAAGUGUGAAAAUCUGUUGGUAAAUAUGAGAGAUCCACAGUGCCUGUAUGAAAGAUUGGUGAUUUGGGAUUGUAAAUAAAAGUCAAACAACAGACAUUAGUGUCUGGAUCUGUUCAUGGAACUCUGCCUUGGAUGGCACCUGACCUUUUAGUGGGAAAAGUCAUAUGGUGACAGAAAAGGUAAUACUGAUGCCAGCUUUUUACAUAUGUUGAAGUUUCAGGCUCUUAUGAUUAUUGACUCUUCAAAUUGGUGACUAGCUUCCGAGUUGUCAUGUGUUGUUAUUUUGAUCUUGUAGAUUGAUGUUUACUCAUUUAGGAUUGUUAUGUGGGAACUGCUUACUGGCGAUGAACCCUAUAUAGAUAUGCAUUGUGCUUUUAUAAUUGGUAAGAACCAAUGUUUUGGGGCUUAUGUUCUGUUUGUGUAUUGUGAAUGAUCCCUUCCAUUUUACAUCUGGUAGGUUAUUUCUAUAGGUUACUGUUAUCAAUUUUUUAAUAUAUGCACUCCAAUCUUAGAGAAGCUUUACGUUAUGUGCAGAUAGAAAUUUGAUUUAAAUUUCAUUUCUUGCUUGGAAUUGUCGUCACUAUCGUCUACUUCAUAUUUGUGCGUGUCAAAUUAUCUUUAUGAAGUGUCAAAUAUGUGGUUCUUACCAGCAAUGCUUCAGGAUACCCAAUAGGAGCUAUGAUGACACGGCAGCAAGCUUUCCUUUUGAAGACGUGUAUAUAAUAAAUUAAAUGUGAGUACCAUAGUGAAAGCUAUGUCAUGAGAUAUAGCUUUGUGCUUCCAAAUUAGACUACUGCACCAAUUUUUGUUAUUUUUCAUUUUCAGCAUAUACUUCUUCAUCUCAGAUGUUACAUUCAGAGACAUCAUUUUAUAUGUCCGGCUUAUGCUUUCGUCCAAUGUAAACUUCAUCAUUUUAUAAUGGCUAUGUAGAGCACGGUAGCCUAAUAAACCUCAUA